AUGCAGUACUAGGGAUUUUCUUUUGUGUGAAAUAUCCUUCAAGACUUGCAAUAUGACACCAAGUAAGAUUAGAAUUAGCGUUGUUUUAUUUUGAAAAGUCACUUAAUAAUACCUGCGUGUGGUGUUUGGUAUUC
Rhododendron vialii is the source of this 134-nucleotide long non-coding RNA. RefSeq lists it as uncharacterized. Lineage: Eukaryota; Viridiplantae; Streptophyta; Magnoliopsida; Ericales; Ericaceae. The transcript is spliced from 2 exons. The record is from RefSeq and is a predicted model, not a curated record.